GAAGCGGGAAAAGCUCAAAUUUAAAAUCUGGCAGUCUUGGCUGUCCGAGUUGUAUUCUAGAGAAGUGCUUUCUGUGCUGGACCGUGUACAAGUCUCUUGGAACAGAGCGUCAUAGAGGGUGAGAAUCCCGUCUUUGACACGGACUACCAGUGCUAUGUGAUGCGCUCUCAAAGAGUCGAGUUGUUUGGGAAUGCAGCUCAAAAUGGGUGGUAAAUUCCAUCUAAAGCUAAAUAUUGGCGAGAGACCGAUAGCGAACAAGUACCGUGAGGGAAAGAUGAAAAGCACUUUGGAAAGAGAGUUAAACAGUACGUGAAAUUGCUGAAAGGGAAACACUUGAAGUCAGUCGCGUUGGCCAGAACUCAGCCUUGCUUUUGCUUGGUGCACUUUCUGAUUAACGGGCCAGCAUCAGUUUUGACUACAGGAAAAAGAUUAGAGGAAUGUGGCACCUUCGGGUGUGUUAUAGCCUUUAGUUGCAUACUGUGGUUGGGACUGAGGAUCUCAGCACGCGCAAGUUGUGCUUAGGAUGCUGGCGUAAUGGCUUUAAAUGACCCGUCUUGAAACACGGACCAAGGAGUCUAACAUGCCUGCGAGUAUUUGGGUGGAAAACUCGAAUGCGUAAUGAAAGUGAAAGUUGGGAUCUCUGUCGUGGGGAGCACCGACGCCCGGACCAGACCUUCUGUGACGGCUCCGAGGUAGAGCAUGUAUGUUGGGACCCGAAAGAUGGUGAACUAUGCCUGAAUAGGGUGAAGCCAGAGGAAACUCUGGUGGAGGCUCGUAGCGAUUCUGACGUGCAAAUCGAUCGUCAAAUUUGGGUAUAGGGGCGAAAGACUAAUCGAACCAUCUAGUAGCUGGUUCCUGCCGAA
Molecule: ribosomal RNA, 863 nt
Filed under: Ceriporia reticulata
Lineage: Eukaryota; Fungi; Basidiomycota; Agaricomycetes; Polyporales; Irpicaceae
Description: partial 28S ribosomal RNA
Rfam family: Eukaryotic large subunit ribosomal RNA
Source: RNAcentral